Branchiostoma floridae (Florida lancelet) is the source of this 148-nucleotide non-coding RNA. The record is from Rfam. Lineage: Eukaryota; Metazoa; Chordata; Leptocardii; Amphioxiformes; Branchiostomatidae.
AUGCCUUAAACUAAUGAGUAAGGAAAAUAACGAGCCGGAGUGACGACCGGCUCCUAGCUCAGUUGCUAGAAGAAUUUUUUAGGGGGUACAGGUCGCCCUCGAGUGACCCGCUUACUUCGCGGGAUGCUCGUGUGUAGUGAUCUGCCCC